AAUCCGAAUUAAUAGCUUCCGGCGUAAAGUGUGGCUAAGGUCAUAUCAUAAAAUAAAGUUAAAUUUUAACUAAGCCGUAAAAAGCCCUAGUUAAUAUAAAAUAGUCUACGAAAGUGACUUUAAAAGCCUGAACCCACGACAGCUGAGAUCCAAACUGGGAUUAGAUACCCCACUAUGCUCAGCCUUAAACUUAAGAGGCCAGUUUUAACAAGACCUCUCGCCAGAGUACUACUAGCCAAAGCUUAAAACUCAAAGGACUUGGCGGUGCUUUAUAUCCAUCUAGAGGAGCCUGUUCUAUAAUCGAUAAACCCCGGUAAACCUCACCAACCCUUGCCAAAU
This 339-nucleotide ribosomal RNA is filed under the name Peropteryx kappleri (greater dog-like bat). Its description in RNAcentral is "partial 12S ribosomal RNA". It matches the Rfam family "Bacterial small subunit ribosomal RNA", at positions 542 to 989 of the family's 1533-position model. The record is from RNAcentral. Lineage: Eukaryota; Metazoa; Chordata; Mammalia; Chiroptera; Emballonuridae.